ACGAUAGUAACUUAAUAGGUAAAGUUUAAUCUUGCCAAGAUUAAAAUUACGGGUUCAAAUCUCGUUUAUCGUU
RNAcentral lists this transfer RNA (73 nucleotides) under Candidatus Vidania fulgoroideorum. RNAcentral describes it as "beta proteobacterium endosymbiont of Hyalesthes obsoletus HO1-V tRNA". It matches the Rfam family "tRNA". From Rfam's summary of the family: Transfer RNA (tRNA) molecules are approximately 80 nucleotides in length. Their secondary structure includes four short double-helical elements and three loops (D, anti-codon, and T loops). Lineage: Bacteria; Pseudomonadati; Pseudomonadota; Betaproteobacteria. The record is from Rfam by way of RNAcentral.